RNAcentral lists this non-coding RNA (45 nucleotides) under Schistosoma curassoni. The record is from RNAcentral. Lineage: Eukaryota; Metazoa; Platyhelminthes; Trematoda; Strigeidida; Schistosomatidae.
ACCCAGCUGACGAGUCCCAAACAGGAAGAAAUGCACGUCGUGGAU